GAUGAAUUUUCAUCUGAAGAAAGCCGGUUACAAGAAAACUGUGGCAAAUUUUUCUUCUGACUUGAAGGAUGGGGAGGCCUAUGCUUACCUGCUUAAUGUACUUGCACCAGAGCAUUGCAGCCCAGCAACCUUGGAUGUCAAGGAUCCCACUGAGAGAGCUAACUUAGUUCUUGAGCAUGCGGAGAAAAUGGAUUGCAAAAGAUACCUAGAUCCUAAGGACAUAGUUGAAGGCUCAUCCAAUUUAAAUCUUGCUUUUGUUGCACAAAUAUUCCAUCAGAGGAGUGGAUUGUCUACAGACAGCAAGAAGGUAUCCUUUGCAGAGAUGAUGACAGACGAUGAGCUAAUUUCCAGAGAGGAGAGAUGCUUUCGAUUAUGGAUUAAUAGUCUUGGGAUAAACUCUUAUGUCAAUAAUUUGUUUGAAGAUGUAAGAAAUGGAUGGGUACUUCUGGAGGUGUUGGACAAGGUUUCUCCAGGAUCUGUUAAUUGGAAGCACGCAACGAAACCUCCAAUAAAGAUGCCGUUUAGGAAGGUUGAAAACUGCAACCAAGUUGUCAAGAUUGGGAAGCAGUUGAAGCUUUCCCUUGUAAAUGUGGGAGGAAACGAUUUUGUCCAAGGGAAUAAGAAGCUUAUACUUGCUUUCCUGUGGCAGUUGAUGAGGUUUAAUAUGCUUCAGCUUUUGAAGAACUUGAGAUCGCGUUUCCGAGGGAAGGAGAUUACUGAUGCUGAUAUUCUCUCUUGGGCAAACAAAAAAGUCAAAAACACUGGAAGAACAUCUAAAAUGGAGAGUUUUAAGGAUAAGAGCCUUUCAAAUGGAUUGUUCUUUCUCGAGCUUCUCAGUGCUGUGGAGCCAAGGGUUGUUAAUUGGAAUCUUGUCACCAAGGGUGAAAGUGAUGAGGAAAAGAAGUUGAAUGCUACCUAUAUCAUCAGUGUUGCACGGAAACUUGGGUGUUCUAUCUUUCUGUUGCCUGAGGAUAUCAUGGAGGUUAACCAAAAGAUGAUCCUCACUCUCACUGCCAGCAUCAUGUACUGGAGCCUUCAGCAGACAGCGGACGAUAUAGAGUCUCCUGCGAGUACUGUUGCAUCUGAUGCAUCACCAGCAAGAUCUAUGAAUGGCUCUAUGUCCCCCUAUACUGCUGCUUCACCUGAUGCAUCCCCUGCACCUUCAAUUAGUGGAGCAUCAUCAGCUACUCCUGACGCAUCUCCAGCACCAUCUGUAAACGGAGAUGAGGAAAGCCCACUUAUUACUGAAGUGUCAAAGUUGGAGUUGGUUGCUGACUAUGCACCAUCUGAUACUCCUGAAGUGUCAAAGUCGAAGUUGGCUGCUGAUGAUGCACCAUUUGAUGCCACUGAAGUUUCAAAGUUGAAGUUGGCUGCUAAC
Molecule: unclassified non-coding RNA, 1378 nt
Filed under: Hevea brasiliensis (rubber tree)
Lineage: Eukaryota; Viridiplantae; Streptophyta; Magnoliopsida; Malpighiales; Euphorbiaceae
Source: RNAcentral